GCUCAGGGCCCGCGCCGCUCCGCACGGGUUUUGCACGAGGUGCCGGCAUUUGCGAGAGCUGCUGGGCUCCCGCCUGGGCUUUGUCACGUGACCCACUGACUUCAGCGAGACCCGGCUGAAACUUGGCGAGGGAGCGGGAGAGACCCGCACCAUCCAAUUUAGACUAUAAAUGCAGCCCUUCACAGAGAGAGAAACAGGCCCAGCGAAGCGAUACCACUCCAGGCGCAGGACCUCCUUCCUGGGUGAGGCAAGAGUUAGGUCUUUUAUCUAGCCCAGGAACGCAUGUAAAUGAUUUUUAUAUUCACAUCACAUGGCGUUGUGCCUUAACUUUGGACACUUAGGGGUUUUAUUUGCACAUCCCAAGGACAUUAAUACAUUCAAAUGCUUUCCUCCAGAGACUGUCUAGCUUACAAAAAGUUUGAGCUCAGAAACAAUACUGUCUGGGAGGCAAUGAAACAUAGCGCGCGCAAAAUAUGGUUGGCUUCCCUCCCUCUUCUAUCAUUUAAUUAGUCAGGUAGACCUCUGCUUUUCCAUCUGGAAAAUACAGAUUAUGCAUGCCUGUCUCACAAUGAAAUUUUAAGGAUCUAAUGGGAACAAGUAAAGAUAUUUUGUAGACUGGAAAAUAAUAUAAACAUGGGAUUGGAAAGCUGCCUGGGUAAUGGAAAACACUUGGGGAGCAUUUGAAACAAGUGAGGUAUCGAAUACUUGCCCAGGUGCGGAAUAACA
This 726-nucleotide long non-coding RNA is filed under the name Marmota monax (woodchuck). The record is from RNAcentral. Lineage: Eukaryota; Metazoa; Chordata; Mammalia; Rodentia; Sciuridae.